This 920-nucleotide ribosomal RNA is filed under the name uncultured organism. RNAcentral describes it as "bacterial SSU rRNA". It matches the Rfam family "Bacterial small subunit ribosomal RNA", at positions 1 to 917 of the family's 1533-position model. The record is from RNAcentral.
UGGAUCCAGACUUUGAUCAUGGCUCAGGACGAACGCUGGCGGCGUGCCUAACACAUGCAAGUCGAACGAAGCUCUGCGAUACAAGACUUCGGUCAAGUUGAACGGAUGACUUAGUGGCGGACGGGUGAGUAACGCGUGAGGAACCUGCCUUUCAGUGGGGGACAACAGUUGGAAACGACUGCUAAUACCGCAUAAUGUAUUCUGACCGCAUGAUCGGAAUACCAAAGAUUUAUUGCUGAAAGAUGGCCUCGCGUCUGAUUAGAUAGUUGGUGAGGUAACGGCCCACCAAGUCGACGAUCAGUAGCCGGACUGAGAGGUUGAACGGCCACAUUGGGACUGAGAUACGGCCCAGACUCCUACGGGAGGCAGCAGUGGGGAAUAUUGGGCAAUGGGGGAAACCCUGACCCAGCAACGCCGCGUGAAGGAAGAAGGCUUUCGGGUUGUAAACUUCUUUUACCAGGGACGAAGGACGUGACGGUACCUGGAGAAAAAGCCACGGCUAACUACGUGCCAGCAGCCGCGGUAAUACGUAGGUGGCAAGCGUUGUCCGGAUUUACUGGGUGUAAAGGGCGUGUAGGCGGAGAAGCAAGUCAGAAGUGAAAUCCAUGGGCUUAACCCAUGAACUGCUUUUGAAACUGUUUCCCUUGAGUAUCGGAGAGGCAGGCGGAAUUCCUAGUGUAGCGGUGAAAUGCGUAGAUAUUAGGAGGAACACCAGUGGCGAAGGCGGCCUGCUGGACGACAACUGACGCUGAGGCGCGAAAGCGUGGGGAGCGAACAGGAUUAGAUACCCUGGUAGUCCACGCUGUAAACGAUGAAUACUAGGUGUGGGAGGACUGACCCCUUCCGUGCCGCGGUUAACACAAUAAGUAUUCCACCUGGGGAGUACGAUCGCAAGAUUGCAACUCAAAGGAAUUGACGGA